This 45-nucleotide non-coding RNA is filed under the name Schistosoma curassoni. Lineage: Eukaryota; Metazoa; Platyhelminthes; Trematoda; Strigeidida; Schistosomatidae. The record is from RNAcentral.
AUCCAACUGACGAAUCCCAAACAGAAUGAAACGUGUGUUCUAGAU